RNAcentral lists this ribosomal RNA (253 nucleotides) under uncultured bacterium. RNAcentral's name for it is "partial 16S ribosomal RNA". It matches the Rfam family "Bacterial small subunit ribosomal RNA", at positions 524 to 776 of the family's 1533-position model. The record is from RNAcentral.
UACAGAGGGUGCGAGCGUUAAUCGGAAUUACUGGGCGUAAAGCGCGCGUAGGCGGCUUUGCAAGUCGGGUGUGAAAUCCCCAGGCUUAACCUGGGAACUGCAUUCGAGACUGCAUUGCUAGAGUAUGGGAGAGGGAAGUGGAAUUUCCGGUGUAGCGGUGAAACGCGUAGAUAUCGGAAGGAACAUCAGUGGCGAAAGCGACUUCCUGGACCAAUACUGACGCUCAUGUGCGAAAGCGUGGGGAGCAAACAGG